GCCUGGGUGGCUCAGUUGGUUGAGCAUCUGACUUCGGCUCAGGUCAUGAUCUCUCACAGUUUGUGGGUUUGAGCCCCACCUUGGGCU
RNAcentral lists this transfer RNA (87 nucleotides) under Felis catus (domestic cat). Its description in RNAcentral is "tRNA-Arg (TCG) (tRNA-Arg-TCG-20-1)". It matches the Rfam family "tRNA". Rfam says of the family: Transfer RNA (tRNA) molecules are approximately 80 nucleotides in length. Their secondary structure includes four short double-helical elements and three loops (D, anti-codon, and T loops). Further hydrogen bonds mediate the characteristic L-shaped molecular structure. tRNAs have two regions of fundamental functional importance: the anti-codon, which is responsible for specific mRNA codon recognition, and the 3' end, to which the tRNAs corresponding amino acid is attached (by aminoacyl-tRNA synthetases). tRNAs cope with the degeneracy of the genetic code in two manners: having more than one tRNA (with a specific anti-codon) for a particular amino acid; and 'wobble' base-pairing, i.e. permitting non-standard base-pairing at the 3rd anti-codon position. RNAcentral also lists the same sequence under 1 other name. Lineage: Eukaryota; Metazoa; Chordata; Mammalia; Carnivora; Felidae. The record is from Rfam by way of RNAcentral.